This 1712-nucleotide long non-coding RNA is filed under the name Ananas comosus (pineapple). RNAcentral's name for it is "long non-coding RNA (ACOM_LNC006412)". The record is from RNAcentral. Lineage: Eukaryota; Viridiplantae; Streptophyta; Magnoliopsida; Poales; Bromeliaceae.
UAAAGGAUUAAUCAUUGUCAAAAUAACAUACGAAUAUGAUAGAUUAUUAGCUAUAUACAUCGUACAUCAUAUAGUUCAAUUGGGUGUGCAAGCAAGUCAAAACAACCUUAAGGCAUAAUUUGUUUUUCGGGAUAAAUAAACAGGAUAACCUUUUAAUCCCUAUCCUAGGAUAAAAGAGAAUAAAGUCCAUUCUACACUUGCCUUGAGCAUGGAUGAUUGGAUAAGUGGGAGUAAAGUGUCGGAGAAUACAAUUCCAGUUUAGCUAAGAAAAAAGAAGAGCUUACUUCAGAUGCAUUGGGAAAUAUAUAUAUAUAUAUAUAUAUAUAUAUAUGGAGAGAGAGAGAGAGAGAGAGAGAGAGAGAGAGAGAGAGUUGGAAUACUAUCGGUAGCAAACGGGCUCUGUUGCCACCGAUUUGUUUUCAAUGAUGGAGCCUCCAAAUCGACGAUCGGCAUUGUCGAACAUGAUCUAUACCACUUGAAUUAUCUAGAAACCAAAUUUCAUACUUUUCCGAUAUUGUUCUCUUGUCCAUCAAGUGAACACAAAAAUGACCGGCUGAGAAUAAAUAUUCUUUAAAAAGUGAUGAUAUGAAUCUUAUAAUCAAGAUCGAGAGUAUAGAUUUUGUUCUAAAUUGUUUAAAGAAUUUUCUAAUAAAAAUUCAAUUGAUUUGAUUAUCUUUACAACGUUAAACGAGAAAACGCCUCAUAUCGACCAUUAAAAUUACAAAUUUUGAAACCCUUUGAUUAUUAGGUCAAUAAUGUCAAAAAGAUUUGAAAUUUGGUUUCUAGAUACUUCAAGUGGUAUAGAUCAUAUUCAACAGUGCCGAUUGUCAAUUUGAAUGCUCCAUCAUCGAAAACAAAUGAGUGGCAACGAAGCCCGUUUACUACUGAUAGCAUUCCAACUCAACUCUCUCUCUCUCUCUCUUACAUCUAUAUAUAUAUAUAUAUAUAUAUAUAUAUAGAGUCCGGCUCCUAUGCUAUCGGUAGCACGGAGCGCUCCGUGCUACCAAGUUGUUUCCGAUGAUGCGGCUUCCAAAUCGACGAUCGGCUCCGUUAGACUUGAUCUACACUAUUGAAAGUAUUUGGAAAUUAAAUUGCAGAUUUUUUCGACAUAAUUUGACUACUGAUCAAAAGAUCUCAAAAUUGACAAUUUUAAUGGCCGAUGUGGUGUGUUUGUGAGUUUAACGAUGUAAAACAAUUCAAAUGCGAUGAAAAUUUUAUAGAAAAUUCUUUUCACUAUUUAGAGUAAGAUCAGUAUAUCUGAUCUUGAAUUUAAAUCUUUUAUCAUCAUUUUUCAUGAGAUUUUUAUUUUCAGCCGUUCAAUUUUAGACUACUUGUUUGAUAGGUAAAUGAUAUCGAAAAAUUAUGAAAUUUAGUUUCUAAAUAUUUUCAAUAGUGUAGAUCAAGUCUAACGGAGCCGAUCGUCGAUUUGGAAGCCGCAUCAUCGAAAACAACUUGGUAGCACGGAGCACUCCGUGCUACCGAUAGUAUAGUAGGCUUAUCCUACAGGUAAUGCUGGUGAGUUUCGUUAUCCACCCAAAGUCCUGGAAAGUAAAUGAGUUUAUUUCACAUGGAUUACAAAAGGAUAUGCUGAUAGAUGUUUUGGACUAUGUUAUAGACAAACGCAGACACACACAUGAGUAAUGUAACAUAAAGGAAAAAGAAUAAGGCCAAACCAAAAAUUACUGACUACUAAGAUAUGAAAAGAUACGGAA